RNAcentral lists this small nuclear RNA (107 nucleotides) under Vulpes vulpes (red fox). Lineage: Eukaryota; Metazoa; Chordata; Mammalia; Carnivora; Canidae. RNAcentral also lists the same sequence under 1 other name. The record is from RNAcentral.
GUGCUCGCUUCGGCAGCACAUAUACUAAAAUUGGAACAAUACAGGGAAGAUUAGCAUGGCCCCUACGCAAGGAUGACACACAAAUUUGUGAAAUGUUCCAUAUUUUU